RNAcentral lists this ribosomal RNA (285 nucleotides) under Rhodococcus pyridinivorans. RNAcentral's name for it is "partial 23S ribosomal RNA". It matches the Rfam family "Bacterial large subunit ribosomal RNA", at positions 222 to 459 of the family's 2925-position model. The record is from RNAcentral. Lineage: Bacteria; Bacillati; Actinomycetota; Actinomycetes; Mycobacteriales; Nocardiaceae.
AAAACAACAUGUGAUUCCGUGAGUAGUGGCGAGCGAAAGCGGAUGAGGCUAAACCGAGUACAUGUGAUACCUGGCAGGGGUUGUGUAUUCGGGGUUGUGGGGUUCGUUGUGUCGGCGCUGCCAUGCCGGCCGACAGUGAGAAAUCGUCGUGUUAGUCGAAGUGGUCUGGAACGGCCCGUCGUAGAGGGUGAGAAUCCCGUAGACGAAAACAUGGCGACUGUCGAUACGAAUACCCGAGUAGCACCGGGCCCGUGAAAUCCGGUGUGAAUCUGUCGGGACCACCCG